Molecule: ribosomal RNA, 113 nt
Filed under: Acanthosepion pharaonis
Lineage: Eukaryota; Metazoa; Mollusca; Cephalopoda; Sepiida; Sepiidae
Source: RNAcentral
UUACGGCCAUAUCACGUUGAAAUACCGGUUUCCAUACGAUCACCGAAGUUAAGCAAUGUCGAGCUUGAUUAGUACCUAGAUGGGUGACUGCUUGGGAAUACCAGGUGCUGUAA